CUGGCGGCGUGCUUAACACAUGCAAGUCGAACGCUGAAGCACCAGCUUGCUGGUGUGGAUGAGUGGCGAACGGGUGAGUAAUACGUGAGUAACCUGCCCUUGACUCUGGGAUAAGCCCGGGAAACUGGGUCUAAUACUGGAUGCUACAUGUCACCGCAUGGUGGUGUGUGGAAAGGGUUUACUGGUCUUGGAUGGGCUCACGGCCUAUCAGCUUGUUGGUGAGGUAAUGGCUCACCAAGGCGACGACGGGUAGCCGGCCUGAGAGGGUGACCGGCCACACUGGGACUGAGACACGGCCCAGACUCCUACGGGAGGCAGCAGUGGGGAAUAUUGCACAAUGGGCGAAAGCCUGAUGCAGCGACGCCGCGUGAGGGAUGACGGCCUUCGGGUUGUAAACCUCUUUCAGCAGGGAAGAAGCCACAAGUGACGGUACCUGCAGAAGAAGCGCCGGCUAACUACGUGCCAGCAGCCGCGGUAAUACGUAGGGCGCAAGCGUUGUCCGGAAUUAUUGGGCGUAAAGAGCUCGUAGGCGGUUUGUCGCGUCUGCUGUGAAAGCCCGGGGCUUAACCCCGGGUGUGCAGUGGGUACGGGCAGACUAGAGUGCAGUAGGGGAGACUGGAAUUCCUGGUGUAGCGGUGGAAUGCGCAGAUAUCAGGAGGAACACCGAUGGCGAAGGCAGGNNNNUGGGCUGUUACNGAC
Molecule: ribosomal RNA, 699 nt
Filed under: Kocuria palustris
Lineage: Bacteria; Bacillati; Actinomycetota; Actinomycetes; Micrococcales; Micrococcaceae
Description: bacterial SSU rRNA
Rfam family: Bacterial small subunit ribosomal RNA
Source: RNAcentral